CGGCCUGGUAAGUACUGUGUGAAAUCUGGCGGCUUAACCGUCAGGCGGGCACAGUAUACUGCCAGGCUAGGGACCGGACGGCGUCAGGGGUAUUCCUGGGGUAGGGGUGAAAUCCUAAAAUCCCAGGAGGACCACCGGUGGCGAAAGCGCCUGACGAGUACGGAUCCGACGGUGAGGGACGAAAGCCAGGGGAGCAAAGCGGAUUAGAUACCCGCGUAGUCCUGGCCGUAAACUAUGUCCGCUUGAUGCUGGGUUUCCUUCGAGGAGGCUCAGUGCCGAAGCGAAAGCGUUAAGCGGACCGCCUGGGGA
RNAcentral lists this ribosomal RNA (309 nucleotides) under uncultured archaeon. RNAcentral describes it as "bacterial SSU rRNA". It matches the Rfam family "Archaeal small subunit ribosomal RNA", at positions 526 to 834 of the family's 1478-position model. The record is from RNAcentral.